RNAcentral lists this unclassified non-coding RNA (395 nucleotides) under Hevea brasiliensis (rubber tree). Lineage: Eukaryota; Viridiplantae; Streptophyta; Magnoliopsida; Malpighiales; Euphorbiaceae. The record is from RNAcentral.
AUUUCUUAGUUUGCCUUUUUUGCCUUCUAAAGGUUGGGCUAGGCCAAAUUUAAUUAGUUAAGGAUUAUUAGUAAUAAAGACAAUGAAAAAUUGAUGACAUCAGGGUCAGGGAUAGUUCUAUGGCAAGAUGAAUUUCUCUUGCAAACAAGAAUAUCAAUGGGCUAAAUAUUGUGUUAUGCGUAGUGAAACUGUAAACUGUUACUUGGAAUUAUAAGCCUAAAUAUUAUUAAUCUUGCCAGUAAUUCUGUAAUUGUAGUGUUUUAUUCCACAUAUUGGCUUUUCUUUCUAGUUAUUUCUGCAUGUGGCUUCCCCAUCCGUUCUUUUUGCAUUUCAUGAUUGCUAUAAUGCAAUUAAACUGGAAUCUCGGGCUAUUUGAUCUGUAGAUAUGCAAUGGG